RNAcentral lists this ribosomal RNA (449 nucleotides) under uncultured bacterium. RNAcentral describes it as "bacterial SSU rRNA". It matches the Rfam family "Bacterial small subunit ribosomal RNA", at positions 330 to 793 of the family's 1533-position model. The record is from RNAcentral.
ACCAGACUCCUACGGGAGGCAGCAGUGGGGAAUAUUGGGCAAUGGGCGCAAGCCUGACCCAGCAACGCCGCGUGAAGGAAGAAGGCUUUCGGGUUGUAAACUUCUUUUAUUCGGGACGAAGCAAGUGACGGUACCGAAUGAAUAAGCCACGGCUAACUACGUGCCAGCAGCCGCGGUAAUACGUAGGUGGCGAGCGUUAUCCGGAUUUACUGGGUGUAAAGGGCGUGUAGGCGGGAGUGCAAGUCAGAUGUGAAAACUAUGGGCUCAACCCAUAGCCUGCAUUUGAAACUGUACUUCUUGAGUGCUGGAGAGGCAAUCGGAAUUCCGUGUGUAGCGGUGAAAUGCGUAGAUAUACGGAGGAACACCAGUGGCGAAGGCGGAUUGCUGGACAGUAACUGACGCUGAGGCGCGAAGGCCAGGGGAGCGAAAGGGAUUAGAUACCCGCGUAG